RNAcentral lists this small RNA (2151 nucleotides) under Pan troglodytes (chimpanzee). RNAcentral describes it as "processed transcript". The record is from RNAcentral. Lineage: Eukaryota; Metazoa; Chordata; Mammalia; Primates; Hominidae.
GUACUAACAGGAGCCUGCCAUCCCCAUUCCUUCGCAGCUCCUGCUGCCUGGGCACAAAUGCCCUGGAGAGUGAGUGACUGUCAGACCAGCCGGAGGGGAGCAAUGGGAAGAGCCGCUUGCUGAGAAGAGGUGGGCUUGGCAGGACUGCAGAUGGAGUACUCUCCCCAACCCCCUGCAGGUGCUGGUCUAAGCCAAGCUGGGAGGAUGGAGGCCGGCCCUGGCCCAGCCCCAGGCAAGGGAGGAGCCUCAGCCCAGAUGGGGCAGGUGGGGAGUCUGGGCUCAGGUGUGUCCUGUGGGAAGUGAUUGCUCCCUGGCUAGCAGAGACAGAGGAAAGCGGAUUGUUGGCCCCAGGACCCAGCUCUGAGAGGCUGGGCUUGUUUCCCCGACUCUGCCUUGGAGGAAAGCAAUGGAAGGGGAAGGGGUAAGAAACUUCAAGGAACUUCGAGCCAAAUUUCAAAAUCUUGAUGCUCCACCUCUUCCAGGACCUAUUAAAUUCCCAGCAGGUGUUUCUCCAAAGGGUGACAUUGGAGGCACACAGUCAACUCAAAUUUUGGCCAAUGAGAAACCCCUCCCAUCCAACCACAAGCAGCGCACACCAUACUGUUCCAGUAGUGAGUCCCAGCCUCUUCAACCUCAGAAAAUAAAGUUGGCUCAGAAGAGUGAAAUUCCAAAAUGUUCUAAUGCCCCAGGGCCUCUGGGAAAGUCUACUGUAUGUUCUGCAGCAAGUUCACAGAAGGCUUCUCUGCUGUUAGAGGUGACUCAAUCAAAUGUUGAGAUAAUCACUAAGGAAAAAGUAAUGGUGGCCAAUAGCUUCAGAAACAAACUCUGGAACUGGGAGAAGGUUUCAUCUCAGAAAAGUGAAAUGUCAUCAGCCCUUCUCCUUGCCAACUGUGGAAGUAAGGCUAUCCAUCUGGAAGGGCAAAAAGGCAUGGGGCUUACUCCAGAGGAACCCAGGAAAAAGCUGGAAACAAAAGGAGCCCAGACUCUUCCUUCCCAGAAGCACGUGGUGGCCCCCAAAAUAUUACGUAACGUCUCUGAAGAUCCCUCUUUUGUAAUUUCUCAACAUAUCAGAAAGAGCUGGGAAAACCUACCUCCUGAGAGGAGCCCGGCAAGCAGCCCCUGCCAGCCCAUCUAUGAGUGUGAGCUUGCCAGUCAGGCCCCAGAAAAACAGCCAGAUGUCAGGCAUCACCACCUUCCCAAAACAAAGCCAUUGCCCUCCAUCGACUCCCUGGGUCCUCCUCCCCCAAAGCCUUCAAGACCUCCCGUCAUGAACCUCCAGGCCUUUCAGAGGCAGCCAGCUGCUGUUCCCAAGACUCAAGGGGAAGUGACUGUGGAAGAGGGCUCCCUGUCUCCAGAGAGGCUUUUCAAUGCAGAAUUUGAAGAACCACAUAAUUACGAGGCAACAAUUUCAUAUCUGAGACACUCUGGCAACUCCAUUAACCUGUGCACUGCAAAAGAAAUUGCUGAUCGUAGAUGCCUGUGAAGGGACACCUGAAAAAAUUCAGAUGACCAACAUCCACACAGGUAGAAGGAACAUGUUGGCUGGAAAGCAAGAGGCCAUGAUUGACAUCAUCCAGACAAAUCCCUGCCCUGAGGGCCCAAAGCUGGCCAGGCACUCCCAAGGCCACUGUGGGUAUCUGGAGGUUUUGGAGUCAACUAAAGAAACUCCAGACCUAGGGGUCUCUAAGACAAGUUCCAUCUCGGAGGAGAUAUAUGAUGAUGUCGAGUACUCCAGGAAAGAGGUACCGAAGCUGAACUACUCUAGCUCAUUUGCCUCAAAUAGUGAAGAAAAUAGAGAACUGUAUGAAGAUGUCUACAAAACAAAGAACAACUACCCAAAGAUAGAUUUAGAUGGAAAAGAAGCACUCAAAAGACUGCAGCAAUUCUUCAAGAAAGAAAAGGAUAGAUUUAAAAUAAAGAAAACCAAGUCAAAAGAAAACUUAAGUGCAUUUUCCAUUUUGCUGCCUGAUUUAGAACGUAAGUCUCAGGAAGUUAUUAUCUAUGAUGAUGUAGACCUGAGUGAAAAAGAGUCAAAUACUUUGUUGAAUAAGAAUGGAGAGAGUGGGCAUCCAUGUCUUAUUCCAGAAAAGCUGGAAGCUUUUCCCUGUUAGAGAUGAAGAUAAACUGAAAAUGUGGAAGCCCAAGUUUCUG